GAUGAACGCUGGCGGCGUGCCUAAUACAUGCAAGUCGAGCGAACAGACGAGGAGCUUGCUCCUCUGACGUUAGCGGCGGACGGGUGAGUAACACGUGGAUAACCUACCUAUAAGACUGGGAUAACUUCGGGAAACCGGAGCUAAUACCGGAUAAUAUAUUGAACCGCAUGGUUCAAUAGUGAAAGACGGUUUUGCUGUCACUUAUAGAUGGAUCCGCGCCGCAUUAGCUAGUUGGGAAGGUAACGGCUUACCAAGGCAACGAGGCGUAACCGACCUGAGAGGGUGAUCGGCCACACUGGAGCGUAGACACGGUCCAGACUCCUACGGGAGGCAGCAGUAGGGAAUCUUCCGCAAUGGGCGAAAGCUUGACGGAGCAACGCCGCGUGAGUGAUGAAGGUCUUCGGAUCGUAAAACUCUGUUAUUAGGUAAGAACAAAUGUGUAAGUAACUAUGCACGUCUUGACGGUACCUAAUCAGAAAGCCACGGCUAACUACGUG
RNAcentral lists this ribosomal RNA (497 nucleotides) under uncultured bacterium. RNAcentral's name for it is "partial 16S ribosomal RNA". It matches the Rfam family "Bacterial small subunit ribosomal RNA", at positions 28 to 507 of the family's 1533-position model. The record is from RNAcentral.